RNAcentral lists this ribosomal RNA (253 nucleotides) under uncultured bacterium. Its description in RNAcentral is "partial 16S ribosomal RNA". It matches the Rfam family "Bacterial small subunit ribosomal RNA", at positions 524 to 776 of the family's 1533-position model. The record is from RNAcentral.
UACGUAGGGCGCAAGCGUUGUCCGGAAUUAUUGGGCGUAAAGAGCUCGUAGGCGGCUUGUCACGUCGGGUGUGAAAGCCCGGGGCUUAACCCCGGGUCUGCAUUCGAUACGGGCUAGCUAGAGUGUGGUAGGGGAGAUCGGAAUUCCUGGUGUAGCGGUGAAAUGCGCAGAUAUCAGGAGGAACACCCGUGGCGAAGGCGGCUCUCUGGGACGGUACUGACGCUGAGACGCGAAAGCGUGGGGAGCGAACAGG